This 421-nucleotide ribosomal RNA is filed under the name uncultured Porphyromonadaceae bacterium. RNAcentral describes it as "bacterial SSU rRNA". It matches the Rfam family "Bacterial small subunit ribosomal RNA", at positions 356 to 774 of the family's 1533-position model. The record is from RNAcentral. Lineage: Bacteria; Pseudomonadati; Bacteroidota; Bacteroidia; Bacteroidales; Porphyromonadaceae.
GAGGAAUAUUGGUCAAUGGACGCAAGUCUGAACCAGCCACGUCGCGUGAAGGAAGACGGCCCUACGGGUUGUAAACUUCUUUUGUAAGGGAAUAAAGUGAUUCACGUGUGUAUCAUUGCAUGUACCUUACGAAUAAGGAUCGGCUAACUCCGUGCCAGCAGCCGCGGUAAUACGGAGGAUCCGAGCGUUAUCCGGAUUUAUUGGGUUUAAAGGGUGCGCAGGCGGAAUAUUAAGUCGGCGGUGAAAUUUUGCAGCUUAACUGUAAAAGUGCCUUCGAAACUGGUUUUCUUGAGUGUAGAUGAAGUAGGCGGAAUUUGUGGUGUAGCGGUGAAAUGCAUAGAUAUCACGAGGAACUCCUAUUGCGCAGGCAGCUUACUAAACUACUACUGACGCUCAUGCACGAAGGCGUGGGGAUCAAACA